CUUAUUGCCUCACCCCAGUCCUGGCCUUGCUAAGCAUUGCAUACAUUCACGCAGGUACUUACGUAGUUAUUUUUCAAAACUAAAAUCACUUUUAAUGAACUGUGACUUGCUUUUUUGUUUUUUACACAAUGAAUCAGAACAAUUUGUGUCAAUUCCUACGAGUCUAUCACAAACUUUUAAUUGUUGUGUAGUAUUCUGUACUAUGAGUGAACCGUAGUUUAGCCAUUUCCCUACUGAUGAGCAUUUAAAUUUUAAUCUUGCUCUUGCAGUGAAUGCUACCAAAAACAUAACCUAGCUCAUAUGUGCUUUCCAGUAUUUCCAGGGGAUACAUUUCUAGAGGUGGCAAUGCUGGGUAAAGGGAUGUUUUAAAACUAUGAAAGCUACAACCAAAGCACCUUUCAAAAGUUUCAAACCAAUUGAUGUUCCUACAAACAGUGCAGAAGGAUAUAAUGGGAAACACUUUACAUUAGAAUUAUCUGCAUGAUUUCUUUAAAUAGCCAGCUUUCUUGGUACUUACGACUUCCCCAAAUUAAAGUCACAUGCAGUUUUCCAGCAGUCUGUUAUUGCAUAAAUCCAGACAGGCUGCUGAAGUGUGUGUGCUGCCUUAAGAGCCAGCUUUUUCCCUGCUGUGUAGCUCAGCUGGGAAGUGGUUGCUCUGACUUCUCCUAUAGGCCUGGAGCUGGUCUGUGUUGGAAAUGGGGUGCUGGGCAAUCUGUAAGGUUACACCCUGGGUCAAUGUCUCACAACUGCUCUCCAAUCUCUCCAAAGAUGGGAGCAGGAUCGUGAGUCCUGUGGGGCAUCAACAGCUGUAGAAAAAAAACUUUCCAACACAGAGGAGUUUGUUGAAUCUGAAUCUCUACAUUUUUGAGGAACAUAACUUGAUGUGGAAUACUGCUAGGCCUUCUGGCAAGGAAGAAGUGCUGGACCUGGUGACCAUUCGAGAUAGUUGUAUAGGAUUCUGUAUUAUGAAUGAACAUAGUUUAGCCAUUAGCCAUAGCAACAGAGUGCUGGACCUGGUGACCACUUGAGGUUCUUGAAAUCCUCCACCCUGGCCCUCCUCCUACACUUUCCCUACAUUCCAGGAUGGAUGUGGAUUCCUGUCCAUUUGCCUUCAAAUCAGGAGCUGGCAAACUCUGGCUUGUGGGUCCAAUCUGGCCUGCAGCCUCCUUUUGUAAUAUAAAGUUUUAUUGGAACACAGCCACGCUCAUUUGUUUGCAAAUUGUCUAUGGCUGCUUUUGCAACAGAGGAGUUGAGGAGUUGCGGCAGGUUGUUUGGUCUGCAAAAUCUGAAAUACUUAUUAUCUGGCCUUUUACAGGUAAAGUAUGCCAACCUUCUGCUCUAAAUGUCUUUCAAGUUUGUUCCUUCUUUUUCCUUAUCUUAGUUCAUCACAUCUUGCCUGGAUGACUGCAGUGGCCACUAAGCUGGUCACAGAGUGAGCUUUCUUAAAUGCAAGUGUAAGGAUGGCAGAGCCUCAAGUGCUUCAGUUUCUCCAAGUGCCUGUUCCCUGAGUGGCAUACCAUUGAAGGCCAUCUGAGUCUGCAGCUAUGUUUCCACUCUCACUGGUGUGUGCACCUGGAGCUGUCACUUUUUCAAUAAUGCAUUUCUGACUCCCUCAUCAACAAAGGUCUCAGGUUUUUUCAUCUGUGAAAUGUGAGCAGAAACCCCAGCCCGGCAUACCUCCUACGGGUAGGUUGUGAUCCUGAUGUGAUCCUCAACAAGGCUGCUCAUGAUGUGUGUCUGCUGGAUGGAGGCCUCAGAAAACUCAUUUGACAUCUUGGCUGUAACUUUGUCCAAGUCUGUGUCUGAUGUCAUUAUGCAAUCAAUUCUAUACUAGAUUCUGCCGGGUAAGAUCUUAAAAGACAAAAGCUUUGUUCUCCAGAUCGUCACUGGUUUUGAGGACGUACCUUGUUCAUUCAUUCAUUCAUUCAUUCUGCAAAUUAUUUAUUAGAGCAAAUUAACUUCUGUGACUCUCAAUCUUCUCUUCUACAUAACAGGAAUAAUAAACCUUGCUUCAUAGGGUUAAGUUUUAGGCAUAUGGCUGGUACUCAAGAAAUGAUUAUUAUUAGAUUAUUAUUAUUAUUAGAUUCUUCACAGAAGUCUUAGUAGUAGUCAAAGCAUAAAAGACAUUUAAAGGCUGGACGCUGUGGCUCACAUCUGAAAUCCCAGCACUUUGGGAGGCAGAUGUGGGAGGAUCACCUGAGGUCAGGAGAUCAAGACCAUCCUGGCUAACACGGUGAAACCCCAUCUCUACUAAAAAUACAAAAAAUUAGCCAGGCAUGGUGGCGGGCGCCUGUAGUCCCAGCUCCUCGGGAGGCUGAAGCAGGAGAAUGUCGUGAACCCAGGAAGCAGAGCUUGUAGUGAGCCGAGAUCGCACCACUGCACUCCAGCCUGGGCGACAGAGCGAGACUCCGUCUCAAAAAAAAAAAAAAAAAAAAAAAAAAGAUUAAGUAGGGUCUACCCCUUGCCUCUAGUCUGGCAUAGUAGAAUUACUGUUAUUUUCUCAUUUUUUUAGUUGAAGAAACUGAAAGUGAGGUAAAGAGUCUUAUACCCAUGAACUGGACAUUAUUAUUUCUUUCCUUUCACAAAUGAGAAAACUGAGGCAUAGAGAUGAUAUUUAACUCUCCCCUAGGGACAUAUCACUAAUCAGCAGUAGAUCCCAAAUAGGACUGCAGGUAGCCUGGCUCCAGAGACUAGGAUUGUAGCCUCUAGACUCAAUGGGAUUAGAGGCUAUAGUGAGAAGAAUAUUGGAUUUGGAGUUAGAGCAAUCUGGCUUCUAAUCUCUGCUCCAGCACAGACUAUCUUGAACCUGGGAAAGCCACUUAACUGUCUGAGCUCUGGUUUCCUUAUCUGGGAACUGGAAAUAAUGAUAAUACCUACUCUGUAGGAAUCUUGUAAGAAAGAGAAGUAACAUAUGUCAUUCCUUAGGUAGUGUAAAUUCUAUCUUAGACCAUCAUAGACAUUUUUGCUUAAAGACAGGGUCUCACUCUGUCUCCCAGGCUGGAGUGCAGUGGUGCAAUCAUAGCUCACGGCAACCUUGAACUCCUGGGCUCAAGUGAUCCUCCUGUCUAGGCCUCCCACAGUGCUGGGAUUACAGGCAUGAGCUCCCAUGCCCGGCCAGGUCACCACAGACUCUUAAACAUCACAAGAACUUUUGCAAACAUGACUGUAUGGAAUUAGUGCAGUCACAUGAGGAGGAAUAUAGGAGAGAGAUUUUUUAUCCCUGUUUGCAGAUAAGGAAAGUAAGCCAGAGAGGAAGAGAAAGGGGGAAGGGAACUCUUUUAAAUGCUUUCAUUUAUUCAAUCAAUAUCAGUUAAGCAGCUAUUCAAUUUAUGUUGACUGAUAUCAUUUAUUUAAUAAAUGUCAGUUGAGCAGUAUCACAUCAUGAGGGGUACAAGGAUUGACCCUAUUUUUUUCUGGAUGAGGAACUGAGGCUCAGAUAAAGCAUAACUUGCACAUAGUCACAGAACUAAUCAUGAGCAACACUGCAAUUUAAACUAAGGUAUGUGUGGACCCAGACAUGCUCACAGUGGAGUGAAUUUCCCCCAGGUCUCAGAUGUAAGGGGCAAAGUCAAGGAAGGCUCUAACCCUAAUCUUCUGGGUCCAGAUCUAGUCCACUUUCAUCCCACCAUGUGGUGUAGCCCUACAAAUAAGUUGAAUUCCAAAUUCUAAGCAAGCAUUGACUAAUGCAAAAAUGGUUAAAAGGCCAGAACCCUAGAGGCAGGAAAUGUCACCUUCCUUGAUUAAACCUGGGAAAUGUACCCAUUAUGGAUAAGAUUUGCUGUCUACAGGAAACCGUCUUAGACAUAAACUGAUCCUAUCUUCCAGCCAAAGUGAUUUGAAGAUGGCUUAACUAAGGAGAUUUAAGUAGCUGACUACCUUGAAGGUAAUCUAUGAAAAGGGACCUCUGUCUUCGGAAAGUGCGUCUACCACAAAAGUCUGUGAGGAUGAUGGGUGUGGUUCUGUGAUAAGUGCAAUCAGAAAGUCCAUAUGAGUUCUGAAAAAGUGCAGGUGACCUUGGAGCCAGAGAGAUGGGGUUCAAAUCCUAGUUUCUCUCCCACUUUGGACUUAUUUGUGUUUAACCAUCUUCAUCUGUAAAAUGGAGAGAGCAUUGUUUUGUUUGUUUGCUUGAGAAUCUAGAGACAUUAGGAUGAUUAAACCAUACUGUACACAUCUCUGCUAAUCUUUUAAGGAAAAAUCAUGGAGAAUGGAAAAAAAAUCAGUGAGUGAAAAGAUUUCUCUGUAUCUUCGUCACAAUCCAGAGAAAAGAAGUUCAGAAUCCAAUGGUUUUGGACAACUUGGUCAUCAGAAAAAUGAAGUGUGUCCUGUCUUUGGUGUAUUUCACUAGGUUCUACCUUAUGAACAUGAUGACAAUAAUAAUAAAAAAGUACUUUGCUG
Molecule: long non-coding RNA, 4395 nt
Filed under: Homo sapiens (human)
Lineage: Eukaryota; Metazoa; Chordata; Mammalia; Primates; Hominidae
Description: HSALNT0242866
Source: RNAcentral